Molecule: ribosomal RNA, 90 nt
Filed under: Escherichia coli
Lineage: Bacteria; Pseudomonadati; Pseudomonadota; Gammaproteobacteria; Enterobacterales; Enterobacteriaceae
Description: partial 16S ribosomal RNA
Rfam family: Bacterial small subunit ribosomal RNA
Source: RNAcentral
UUAAAUUGAAGAGUUUGAUCAUGGCUCAGAUUGAACGCUGGCGGCAGGCCUAACACAUGCAAGUCGAACGGUAACAGGAAGCACUUGCUG